This 492-nucleotide ribosomal RNA is filed under the name uncultured bacterium. RNAcentral describes it as "partial 16S ribosomal RNA". It matches the Rfam family "Bacterial small subunit ribosomal RNA", at positions 29 to 507 of the family's 1533-position model. The record is from RNAcentral.
AUUGAACGCUGGCGGCAUGCUUUACACGUGCAAGUCGAACGGUAACAGGCCUUCGGGUGCUGACGAGUGGCGAACGGGGGAGUAAUGCAUCGGAACGUACCCAGAGGUGGGGGAUAACGCAGCGAAAGCUGUGCUAAUACCGCAUGUGAUCUGAGGAUGAAAGCGGGGGACCGAGCAGCAAUGUUUGGCCUCGCGCCUUUGGAGCGGCCGAUGUCGGAUUAGCUAGUUGGUGGGGUAAAGGCCUACCAAGGCGACGAUCCGUAGCUGGUCUGAGAGGACGACCAGCCACACUGGGACUGAGACACGGCCCAGACUCCUACGGGAGGCAGCAGUGGGGAAUUUUGUACAAUGGGCGCAAGCCUGAUCCAGCAGUGCCGCGUGCGGGAAGAAGGCCUUCGGGUUGUAAACCGCUUUUGGCAGGAACGAAACGGUGUCCGCUAAUACCGGGCGCUAAUGACGGUACCUGCAGAAUAAGCACCGGCUAACUACGUG